This 189-nucleotide non-coding RNA is filed under the name Burkholderiales bacterium. Lineage: Bacteria; Pseudomonadati; Pseudomonadota; Betaproteobacteria; Burkholderiales. The record is from RNAcentral.
AGAAUCCCGCCACCGUUCGGUUCAACGAAACGGAACACGGUUUGAAUCCGUGGCGGGCCCGCCGCUGUAUCCGGGGACGGACGUUGCAAGGUCGAGAGACCAGCCACUGACGGGGUUUACCCCGCUGGGAAGGCGCAACGUUCCGGCUGAUCCGGGAGCCAGAAGACGUGUUGAACCGAAGCGGAGUCC